GACGAACGCUGGCGGCGUGCCUAAUACAUGCAAGUAGAACGCUGAAGGAGGAGCUUGCUCUUCUGGAUGAGUUGCGAACGGGUGAGUAACGCGUAGGUAACCUGCCUGGUAGCGGGGGAUAACUAUUGGAAACGAUAGCUAAUACCGCAUAAGAGUAGAUGUUGCAUGACAUUUACUUAAAAGGUGCAAUUGCAGCACUACGAGAUGGACCUGCGUUGUAUUAGCGAGUUGGUGGGGUAACGGCUGACCAAGGCGACGAUACGUAGCCGACCGGAGAGGGGGAGUGGCCGCACUGAGAGUGAGACCCGCCCCAGACGGACUGGGGAGGGGGCAGGAGGGAUUCGUCGGCAAGGGGCGGAAGUUUGACCGCGCAACGCGGCGUGAGGGAGGAAGGAUGCCGGAUCGGAAAGCUCGGUUGUAAGAGAAGAACGAGUGUGAGCGUGUAAAGUUCCGUCUGUGACGGUAACUGACCAGAAAGCGACGGCUAACUACGUG
Molecule: ribosomal RNA, 495 nt
Filed under: uncultured bacterium
Lineage: Bacteria
Description: partial 16S ribosomal RNA
Rfam family: Bacterial small subunit ribosomal RNA
Source: RNAcentral